RNAcentral lists this ribosomal RNA (380 nucleotides) under uncultured eukaryote. Its description in RNAcentral is "partial 18S ribosomal RNA". It matches the Rfam family "Eukaryotic small subunit ribosomal RNA", at positions 592 to 976 of the family's 1831-position model. The record is from RNAcentral.
CAAUAGCGUAUAUUAAAGUUGUUGCGGUUAAAAAGCUCGUAGUUGGAUUUCUGCUGAGAACGACCGGUCCGCCCUUUGGGUGUGUAUCUGGCUCUUUCUUGGCAUCUUCUUGGUGAACGUUGCUGCACUUGACUGUGUGGAGCGCUACCCAGGACUUUUACUUUGAGGAAAUUAGAGUGUUUCAAGCAGGCAUACGCCUUGAAUACAUUAGCAUGGAAUAAUAAGAUAGGACCUCGGUUCUAUUUUGUUGGUUUCUAGAGCUGAGGUAAUGAUUAAUAGGGAUAGUUGGGGGCAUUCGUAUUUAACUGUCAGAGGUGAAAUUCUUGGAUUUGUUAAAGACGGACUUCUGCGAAAGCAUUUGCCAAGGAUGUUUUCAUUGA